Molecule: non-coding RNA, 136 nt
Filed under: uncultured Symbiodinium
Lineage: Eukaryota; Dinophyceae; Suessiales; Symbiodiniaceae
Source: RNAcentral
UCCUUGGUGUCGAGCACGUGUAUGGAAUCCCAGAACAUGCAGACAGCUUAGCCCUCAAGACUACUGUUGGUUCAGAGCCGUACCGCUUGUAUAACUUGGAUGUGUUUGAGUAUGAGCUGGACUCAAGAAUGGCUCU